CGAAUCCUGCGUAUGAAAAAAUCUUAGCACAGCUGAACCGGACCCGAGACAAAAGUGCGAAAUCCCGAGUAUCGUCGUUAAUGCACGUCUAUGUGCACACACUGCAUGGAAUAGCUUUAACUCUCUCACAAUGUCGCAGUUACGGUGGAACUGACACUUUUUUUCAAGUUCUGCAGCGCGCUCUAUAAUUCUGCAUCACGAGCUAGAGGAACUAGACUAUCGCGAUGAAUAUUUAAGCAUCAAAAGUACCAAUUCGGCAUACUAGUUUAAUUAUCCGAUGGAACGUCACUUCUUAUAGAAUGCACGCACAAAGACACAAAAUAUUCCGUACAUAUAACCACCUUUCGGACGAAAUCCCGAUAAGGUGUAACCCGAUGUCAGCUCUCGGAAUCGCAUAUCAGCACCAGUACACGUUCCCCGAAAGUCUUGAUGCACUUCGAGGUCUCACUGUACGAGACAUCGGGUCGAGCGCUGCUUUUCGGUUCACAAUAAUUCGUCGUGGUGGUUCAUCAUUCAUUUCUGAAUAUACAUACACAUAAGUAAAGAUGACAAACAUGUAUGAGCACGCAACUAUUUUCCUACGCAUCACAAAUGAACAAGCCGCGACCGUUAGAAGAAAAUUAAAUCCCUGCGUGAUAUGUCGUGAAAAUAAUCUCCUCAAUAUAGUGGAAAAUCGAUCAUUUCUCUUCGCAAGACAUUCCUUUAUAAUUACAAUCGCACUACCUAUGAAGAAAGAAGCAAAAUGGCAACCCUGAAGGGCGCACAAUGUACAAUGGCUGCCAUUAAUGGCAGCUAGGCUAAACAAUUUCACGUGGUUCUCCGCCAAUAUUUUUUCUGCCAUAUGUUACUCACCUUUUAUCACAUCCGCAUACUUACAAUUUAAACCUGAUAUAUCUUGCUCUUUCUUGUAAGGGUAUAACUUACGUUAAUGGAACGAUACAUUUGAUUAUUUUCGAUCGAACAACGAAUUUUAUUGUUUUCUCGAGUUAAUCUCUGUGUGGGACACAAUGCAAUAUACAUGUUUUUCGAACAAUCAAUAAUUUCGAAUCCUAAAAUAUAUAUUUCAAGAUUCUAAAAAUAAAUAUACGUUGCACAAAAUGUAAUAUAAUUUUGUUCAUUUCCUCAACAGUACACUUCUAUAUAUUGAUAACUAUCAUUAUCUAAAUAACAAAAUAAAUACCAAAAAUCAAAUAUGCAGUUAUUGCGUGAAAAUCGUCUUUAAAACAGGAGUUGUGGAGUAAAUGCAAAUAGAAAAUCUGGUAUAUGUAUUUUAAUUAUUCCUCUAGUAAUUAUUGAAGUUUCCACCGAAACUUGAUAAUCCAAAAUUAAUUGCCGAUUACUUGAUCCAAGUUUUGGGUGUUCUGAUGAUUUAGAUAUCCGAUAUUAGUAUAUUCUGAAGGACGAGAGAAACACACCUUCGUCUAUGGAGGUCCGCCAUUUACGACUCGUGUGAUUCUAGCUUCUAUAUCCACUUAGUAAGUUCGAGAACUCUCGGUGACAAGAAACGAGUUUAGCCGGAAAUAGCCGAAGUUUCUAUC
This 1538-nucleotide unclassified non-coding RNA is filed under the name Bombus terrestris (buff-tailed bumblebee). RNAcentral describes it as "misc RNA ENSBTSG00005035639.1". Lineage: Eukaryota; Metazoa; Arthropoda; Insecta; Hymenoptera; Apidae. The record is from RNAcentral.